CGGAUAAGGACACCUCCUUCGUGUUGGUCGAUCAGUAUCAAAUCGUAGAUAGCGUAAACUACAACAAUUUAGUAUACACGCAUAGAAAGGUAGAACCUUUAUAAUAUGACUUCUACUUCCUUUUACGGUCAACGUCCACAAACAGGUCCUCAAUACAUCUUCCUGGCUAAACCUUUGAGUCCUACUCCAUUGGACACGAUUAUGGAGACGAUAGAAGUUCUUACGAACCACCGUCAUAGCCUUAAUGGAC
RNAcentral lists this ribosomal RNA (250 nucleotides) under Triticum aestivum (bread wheat). RNAcentral describes it as "partial small subunit ribosomal RNA". The record is from RNAcentral. Lineage: Eukaryota; Viridiplantae; Streptophyta; Magnoliopsida; Poales; Poaceae.